GAUGAACGCUGGCGGCGUGCCUAAUACAUGCAAGUCGAGCGAACGGACGAGAAGCUUGCUUCUCUGAUGUUAGCGGCGGACGGGUGAGUAACACGUGGAUAACCUACCUAUAAGACUGGGAUAACUUCGGGAAACCGGAGCUAAUACCGGCUAAUAUUUUGAACCGCAUGGUUCAAAAGUGAAAGACGGUCUUGCUGUCACUUAUAGAUGGAUCCGCGCUGCAUUAGCUAGUUGGUAAGGUAACGGCUUACCAAGGCAACGAUUCAUAGCCGACCUGAGAGGGUGAUCGGCCCACCUGGAACUGAGACACGGUCCAGACUCCUACGGGAGGCAGCAGUAGGGAAUCUUCCGCAAUGGGCGAAAGCCCUGCGGAGCAACGCCGCGUGAGUGAUGAAGGUCCUCGGAUCGUAAAACUCUGUUAUUAGGGAAGAACAUAUGUGUAAGUAACUGUGCACAUCUUGACGGUACCUAAUCAGAAAGCCACGGCUAACUACGUG
RNAcentral lists this ribosomal RNA (497 nucleotides) under uncultured bacterium. RNAcentral describes it as "partial 16S ribosomal RNA". It matches the Rfam family "Bacterial small subunit ribosomal RNA", at positions 28 to 507 of the family's 1533-position model. The record is from RNAcentral.